This 372-nucleotide ribosomal RNA is filed under the name uncultured bacterium. RNAcentral's name for it is "bacterial SSU rRNA". It matches the Rfam family "Bacterial small subunit ribosomal RNA", at positions 527 to 896 of the family's 1533-position model. The record is from RNAcentral.
GGGGGGGGCAAGCGUUGUUCGGAAUUACUGGGCGUAAAGGGCGCGUAGGCGGUUGGAUAAGUCAGCUGUGAAAUCUCUGGGCUUAACCCAGAAAGGUCAACCGAUACUGCGGGGCUAGAGUGCAGAAGGGGCAACUGGAAUUCUCGGUGUAGCGGUGAAAUGCGUAGAUAUCGAGAGGAACACCUGCGGCGAAGGCGGGUUGCUGGGCUGACACUGACGCUGAUGCGCGAAAGCUAGGGGAGCGAACGGGAUUAGAUACCCCGGUAGUCCUAGCCUUAAACGAUGAAUGCUUGGUGUCUGGGGUUUUAUAGUCCCCGGGUGCCGUCGCUAACGCUUUAAGCAUUCCGCCUGGGGAGUACGGUCGCAAGACUG